UACGGGAAGGCAGCAGUGGGGAAUAUUGCACAAUGGGCGAAAGCCUGAUGCAGCUAUGCCGCGUGUAUGAAGAAGGCCUUAGGGUUGUAAAGUACUUUCAUCGGGGAGGAAAAACAAAACUAAUAAUUUUAUUUCUUGACGUUACCCGAAAAAGAAGCACCGGCUAACUCCGUGCCAGCAGCCGCGGUAAUACGGAGGGUGCUAGCGUUAAUCAGAAUUACUGGGCGUAAAGAGCACGUAGGUGGUUUUUUUAAGUCAGAUGUGAAAUCCCUGGGCUUAACCUAGGAACUGCAUUUUGAAACUGAAAUACUAGAGUAUCGUAGAGGGAGGUAGAAUUCUAGGUGUAGCGGUGAAAUGCGUAGAUAUCUGGAGGAAUACCUGUGGCGAAAGCGGCCUCCUAAACGAAUACUGACACUGAGGUGCGAAAGCGUGGGGAGCAAACAGGGAUUAGAUACC
Molecule: ribosomal RNA, 456 nt
Filed under: uncultured bacterium
Lineage: Bacteria
Description: bacterial SSU rRNA
Rfam family: Bacterial small subunit ribosomal RNA
Source: RNAcentral